This is a non-coding RNA of Meleagris gallopavo (turkey), 2493 nucleotides long. Lineage: Eukaryota; Metazoa; Chordata; Aves; Galliformes; Phasianidae. The record is from RefSeq and is a predicted model, not a curated record.
AAGCAAACCCUCUGAAUAGUUCUUAAAAAUACUUGGAAGCUCAGGCCACUUCUCAGAUGUAUCAAGUGAGAUUGCAAGAGCUGGUAGGACAGUGUGUAUGUUUGGUUUCUAAGUCUGAAUUUCACUGAAACUGCAUGAUAGAAAGUGAUUUUGGUCAGAAAUCUCAGUGUCUUUUGUUAUAGCACAGUUUGAGGUAGAUAGCCCAGGCAGCCACUGCUAGUGCUGGCUUCACUUCCUCGUGAUCGGAAUCCAAACUUCAGGCUCAGGUUUUGAGUAUGCAGGGCAUGGUAAAACAUUUCUUGUGGUUUGAAACUAGGUGUUAUUUUCCAUGUGGACAAAGCUUGAAACUCUUCUGGCACUUUGCUUUGAGCCAUGGUAUUCAUCUCUGGGAUUUAAUUCAGGGGUACUUUGAGAACUUUUUCUUGCUGUGAAGAAUAUAUCUGCAGAGGGAGAAAGUGGUGCACACCAUGGAGUACCCUCUGGAGGGUAUCCAUGGAGUGGAUGCAUCUGGGACAUAUGAGUGGUUAGACAUAACUUGAGUCACGUUGACUACAAUUACACUGAUGGCUCAUGUUUUGUCAUCUGGGUGGGAUUCAGUUAGACAAUAAAACAAAGAAGUGCAUGUGUGUACAUGAGGACUGAUUGUCUAUGCUCUCUUUAUAGUCAAUGGAGAUCCAGCCAACACAGAUUACAUAAUUUGGUUCACCCUGAAGGAGUCACCCUAUAGUCAAUCAAAUCAUUUCCAGACUGUGUUAGUGGAGACUAUAAUGAAAUGUUAGUUCUUAGUCCGCAUGCAGACACCUACAAGUACCUUCCUGAAUCCCACACCAGUUUAUACUGUGGUGCACACCUUUGAUGCCUGUUCAGAUAUUUUAUAGGAGUCAAAAUUUUGAGCAAUAACAUUAUCUUUCAUCAAAGUCCACCAACUUGGAUAUAUCUCUUGGGCACCUGAGUUUCAAAAUCUUGGCCACUGUUUUUAUUCUUGGAUUUCUCCCUCUAGACAGGUCAGUUUGUCUGGUUCUGGAUGUGGAACAGAAACCUAACACCAAGAUAUUUCUCCAAGCUCAGCUGGCUUCUCCAUGAAUACCAUCAUGUGUGACUCAUGCUCUUUGGCGUGGAUAACUGCAUCAGCAAGGAGGAAGAACACAGCCUCGGCACCAUGUGAAUGCAGUCAUGCAAUGUUGGAUCAGAGCUUGCUUCAAUUCUACCUGUCUUGAGCAGUGGGAAGCAACUUCAUGUCUGUCCUGAUCUCCCAUGCAGAUUUAUCCAGAGUGACCACACCUGAAUGCUGGAAGUCAUUAAUGUGCUGCACUAUGCAGGUUCAUUUAUCCUUCUUCAAUAAAGGACUGACUCUUUGCAAGGACUCUUCUCUGUGUGACUCCUGCCCGUGCUCCCAUCACAGACUUCAGCAGCAUUGUGGCUGUCCUGGGAUGCUUCUACACAACCUGCUCCAACUUAUCUCCAGUUUAUGUGGCUUUAUUUCAAUGCCAUUUCACAUUGGUUUCACUGCAACAAUUAAAUGUCCCUAGUGUCAUUUGUGUUUCUAUCACAAAUUAUUUUUCCCUAUGCCAGAGAAAUGGAGACAAGUGAGCAGAAGGGAAUAAAGGGAGGGAAGUGUUUAUCGACAGCUGAAUGCCUUCCUGGCCUCAGCCUGGAUCAUUCUUGCAUGUGCUUUGAUUUUGUUAGUAUUUUUCCUCCAGAAAUUUGUUGCAUUUUGGAAGCUAAUUUGCCUGUAUAGAGCACAACAGAUUUCCAAAAAGAAUGACUGAGGGGCUGGGAGAUGUCUCCUCUCUGGAAUGAUUGUUUCACACUCUUUUGAGAAUGUGUCAGGUAGGAUAUUAAAAAAAAAUAUUCUCAGAAGGAGUGGUGAGGCACUGGAACAAGCUGCCCAGGGGGGUGGUGGAGUCUCCGUCCCUGGAGGUGUUCAACAAAAAGGUAGAUCUGGCCCUGAGGGACAUGGUCUAGGGCAGUCACAGUCAUGGGUGCUGGUUGGACUGAAUGAUCUUAUUGGUCUGUCCAACCUUCAUGAUUCUAUGAUUCUGUUAUUCUACGGGAAUAGUAGAAACUCCCAUAAGGAUAUAUAAUUACUGUCAGAGUCCCAUGACACUAAACUGGGAGGAGCUUUGACUCUCACAAAUGUAGAGGGAUUGUCCCCUCUGCUCUGCAUUGUGCAGCCUCACCUCGAGCACUGGAUGCAGGUUUGGGUGCCACGAUGUAAGAAGGACAUAAAACUACUAGAGAAAGUCCAAAGGAGGGCUAUGAGGAUGGAGAAGUAUCUGGAGGGCAAGUGGUGUGAGUGGAGGCUUGAGAUCCCUGGGUUUGUUCAGCCCAGAACAGAGCAGGCUGAGGAGAGACCUCAUGGCAGCUGCAGCUCCUCACAGGGAGCGGAGCCGAAGCACCGUGCCACUGCCAGAGCAGGCCCUACUUUCACCACUGCAGCUCGAGUAUCCAUUUCAGUGCUAUACUUAUUGCAAAGUGGCACAAAAGCAGGGG